GUGAGGAAUAUUGGACAAUGGGCGCAAGCCUGAUCCAGCCAUGCCGCGUGCAGGAAGACGCAUCUAUGGUGUGUAAACUGCUUUUGUACGGGAAGAAACACUCCCUCGUGAGGGAGCUUGACGGUACCGUAAGAAUAAGGAUCGGCUAACUCCGUGCCAGCAGCCGCGGUAAUACGGAGGAUCCAAGCGUUAUCCGGAAUCAUUGGGUUUAAAGGGUCCGUAGGCGGUUUAAUAAGUCAGUGGUGAAAGCCCAUCGCUCAACGAUGGAACGGCCAUUGAUACUGUUAGGCUUGAAGUACAAGGAAGUAACUAGAAUAUGUAGUGUAGCGGUGAAAUGCUUAGAUAUUACAUGGAAUACCAAUUGCGAAGGCAGGUUACUACUUGUGGAUUGACGCUGAUGGACGAAAGCGUGGGGAGCGAACAGGAUUAGAAACCCCAGUAGUCC
This 445-nucleotide ribosomal RNA is filed under the name uncultured bacterium. RNAcentral describes it as "partial 16S ribosomal RNA". It matches the Rfam family "Bacterial small subunit ribosomal RNA", at positions 354 to 796 of the family's 1533-position model. The record is from RNAcentral.